GACGAACGCUGGCGGCGUGCUUGACACAUGCAAGUCGAACGGAAAGGCCUGCUUUCCCUUGUGGAUUGCGGGUACUCGAGUGGCGAACGGGUGAGUAGCACGUGAGUGAUCUGCCCCCAACUUGGGUAUAAGCCUGGGAAACUGGGUCUAAUUCCCGAUAGGACUGCAGGGUGGUGCCUGUGGUGGAAAACGAUUUUCUAGUGGUUGGGGAUGAGCUCGCGGCCUAUCAGCUUGUUGGUGGGGUAAUGGCCUACCAAGGCGGCGACGGGUAGCCGGCCUGAGAGGGUGGACGGCCACAUUGGGACUGAGAUACGGCCCAGACUCCUACGGGAGGCAGCAGUGGGGAAUAUUGCACAAUGGGCGGAAGCCUGAUGCAGCGACGCCGCGUGGGGGAUGACGGCCUUCGGGUUGUAAACUCCUUUCGACCGCGAGGAAGCCACCUGGUUGGAAGGGUGGUGACGGUAGUGGUAGAAGAAGCACCGGCUAACUACGUG
This 494-nucleotide ribosomal RNA is filed under the name uncultured bacterium. RNAcentral describes it as "partial 16S ribosomal RNA". It matches the Rfam family "Bacterial small subunit ribosomal RNA", at positions 28 to 507 of the family's 1533-position model. The record is from RNAcentral.